This 301-nucleotide ribosomal RNA is filed under the name uncultured bacterium. RNAcentral's name for it is "partial 16S ribosomal RNA". It matches the Rfam family "Bacterial small subunit ribosomal RNA", at positions 509 to 809 of the family's 1533-position model. The record is from RNAcentral.
CAGCCGCCACGGGAAAACGAAGGGGGCUAGCGUUGUUCGGAAUUACUGGGCGUAAAGCGCACGUAGGCGGAUAUUUAAGUCAGGGGUGAAAUCCCGCAGCUCAACUGCGGAACUGCCUUUGAUACUGGGUAUCUUGAGUAUGGAAGAGGUUAGUGGAAUUGCGAGUGUAGAGGUGAAAUUCGUAGAUAUUCGCAGGAACACCAGUGGCGAAGGCGGCUAACUGGUCCAUAACUGACGCUGAGGUGCGAAAGCGUGGGGAGCAAACAGGAUUAGAUACCCGCGUAGUCCCUGUCCUUAUACA